Molecule: ribosomal RNA, 841 nt
Filed under: uncultured bacterium
Lineage: Bacteria
Description: bacterial SSU rRNA
Rfam family: Bacterial small subunit ribosomal RNA
Source: RNAcentral
CAGUCGAGCGAAGCGAUAAGGUGAAAUUUUUCGGAAUGAAGCCAUAUUGACUUAUCGGCGGACGGGUGAGUAACGCGUGGGUAACCUGCCUCAUACAGGGGGAUAACAGUUAGAAAUGACUGCUAAUACCGCAUAAGCGCACGGGACUGCAUGGUCCAGUGUGAAAAACCGAGGUGGUAUGAGAUGGACCCGCGUCUGAUUAGCUGGUUGGCGGGGUAACGGCCCACCAAGGCGACGAUCAGUAGCCGACCUGAGAGGGUGGCCGGCCACAUUGGGACUGAGACACGGCCCAAACUCCUACGGGAGGCAGCAGUGGGGAAUAUUGCACAAUGGGGGAAACCCUGAUGCAGCAACGCCGCGUGAGUGAAGAAGUAUUUCGGUAUGUAAAGCUCUAUCAGCAGGGAAGAGAAUGACGGUACCUGACUAAGAAGCCCCGGCUAACUACGUGCCAGCAGCCGCGGUAAUACGUAGGGGGCGAGCGUUAUCCGGAUUUACUGGGUGUAAAGGGAGCGUAGACGGUUCUGCAAGUCUGAAGUGAAAGCCCGUGGCUUAACCGCGGAACGGCUUUGGAAACUGUGGAACUGGAGUGCUGGAGAGGCAAGCGGAAUUCCUAGUGUAGCGGUGAAAUGCGUAGAUAUUAGGAGGAACACCAGUGGCGAAGGCGGCUUGCUGGACAGUAACUGACGUUGAGGCUCGAAAGCGUGGGGAGCAAACAGGAUUAGAUACCCUGGUAGUCCACGCGGUAAACGAUGAAUGCUAGGUGUCGGGGAGCAAAGCUCUUCGGUGCCGCCGCAAACGCAGUAAGCAUUCCACCUGGGGAGUACGUUCGCAAGAAUGAAAC